Non-coding RNA from Pseudonaja textilis, 168 nucleotides. The record is from RefSeq and is a predicted model, not a curated record. NCBI's taxonomy places the organism in Eukaryota, Metazoa, Chordata, Lepidosauria, Squamata, Elapidae.
CUACAGAGUCAGCCUAUUGCCUCCAACAAUCUGGAUCCUCAUUUUACCCACCUCGGAAGGAUGGAAGGCUGAGUCAACCAUGAGCCUGGUGAGAUUCGAACUGCCAAAUUGCAGGCAGUCGGCGGUCAGCAGAAAUAGCCAGCAUACUGCACUCUAACCACUGCGCCA